GCAUAGCCGAGUUGAGAGACUGAUCGGCCACAUUGGGACUGAGACACGGCCCAAACUCCUACGGGAGGCAGCAGUAGGGAAUCUUCCACAAUGGACGCAAGUCUGAUGGAGCAACGCCGCGUGAGUGAAGAAGGUUUUCGGAUCGUAAAGCUCUGUUGUUGGUGAAGAAGGAUGGAGGUAGUAACUGGCCUUUAUUUGACGGUAAUCAACCAGAAAGUCACGGCUAACUACGUGCCAGCAGCCGCGGUAAUACGUAGGUGGCAAGCGUUGUCCGGAUUUAUUGGGCGUAAAGCGAGCGCAGGCGGAAGAAUAAGUCUGAUGUGAAAGCCCUCGGCUUAACCGAGGAACUGCAUCGGAAACUGUUUUUCUUGAGUGCAGAAGAGGAGAGUGGAACUCCAUGUGUAGCGGUGGAAUGCGUAGAUAUAUGGAAGAACACCAGUGGCGAAGGCGGCUCUCUGGUCUGCAACUGACGCUGAGGCUCGAAAGCAUGGGUAGCGAACAGGAUUAGAUACCCUGGUAGUCCAUGCCGUAAACGAUGAGUGCUAAGUGUUGGGAGGUUUCCGCCUCUCAGUGCUGCAGCUAACGCA
This 587-nucleotide ribosomal RNA is filed under the name uncultured bacterium. RNAcentral describes it as "bacterial SSU rRNA". It matches the Rfam family "Bacterial small subunit ribosomal RNA", at positions 281 to 859 of the family's 1533-position model. The record is from RNAcentral.